UACGGAGGGAGCUAGCGUUGUUCGGAAAUUACUGGGCGUAAAGCGCUACGUAGGCGGCUAUUCAAGUCGGGGGUGAAAGCCCGGGGCUCAACCCCGGAACUGCCCUCGAAACUAGGUAGGCUAGAAUCUUGGAAGAGGCGAGUGGAAUUCCGAGUGUAGAGGUGAAAUUCGUAGAUAUUCGGAAAGAACACCAGUGGCGAAGGGCGACUCGCUGGACAAGUAUUGAACGCUGAG
RNAcentral lists this ribosomal RNA (234 nucleotides) under uncultured bacterium. RNAcentral's name for it is "partial 16S ribosomal RNA". It matches the Rfam family "Bacterial small subunit ribosomal RNA", at positions 524 to 750 of the family's 1533-position model. The record is from RNAcentral.